UACGUAGGUGGCAAGCGUUGUCCGGAUUUACUGGGCGUAAAGAGCGCGCAGGCGGCCGAGUCAGUCGAAUGUGAAAGCCCCCGGCUCAACUGGGGAGGGUCAUUCGAUACUGCUCGGCUUGAAGAUAGGAGAGGGAAGCGGAAUUUCAGGUGUAGUGGUGAAAUGCGUAGAUAUCUGAAGGAACACCAGUGGCGAAGGCGGCUUUCUGGCCUAUUCUUGACGCUGAGGCGCGAAAGCUAGGGGAGCAAACGGG
This 253-nucleotide ribosomal RNA is filed under the name uncultured bacterium. Its description in RNAcentral is "partial 16S ribosomal RNA". It matches the Rfam family "Bacterial small subunit ribosomal RNA", at positions 524 to 776 of the family's 1533-position model. The record is from RNAcentral.